Molecule: ribosomal RNA, 497 nt
Filed under: uncultured bacterium
Lineage: Bacteria
Description: partial 16S ribosomal RNA
Rfam family: Bacterial small subunit ribosomal RNA
Source: RNAcentral
GAUGAACGCUGGCGGCGUGCCUAAUACAUGCAAGUCGAGCGAACAGACGAGGAGCUUGCUCCUCUGACGUUAGCGGCGGACGGGUGAGUAACACGUGGAUAACCUACCUAUAAGACUGGGAUAACUUCGGGAAACCGGAGCUAAUACCGGAUAAUAUAUUGAACCGCAUGGUUCAAUAGUGAAAGACGGUUUUGCUGUCACUUAUAGAUGGAUCCGCGCCGCAUUAGCUAGUUGGUAAGGUAACGGCUUACCAAGGCGACGAUGCGUAGCCGACCUGAGAGGGUGAUCGGCCACACUGGAACUUAGACACGGUCCAGACUCCUACGGGAGGCAGCAGUAGGGAAGCUUCCGCAAUGGGCGAAAGCCUGACGGAGCAACGACGCGUGAGUGAUGAAGGUCUUCGGAUCGUAAAACUCUGUUAUUAGGGAAGAACAAAUGUGUAAGUAACUAUGCACGUCUUGACGGUACCUAAUCAGAAAGCCACGGCUAACUACGUG